UUCCAUACCAAGUAAUAUAGGCAGUUGCAACAUCCAUGAACAGCUGUUAAUUGGAGCACAGUGCAUCUGCAGUGUCAAAUCUACAGAGACAAGUGCACCUGGAGACAAAUGACCAGACUACCAUAAAACAGAAGCUUAAUUAUGUUCACUUACAUUUUCAAAUUAUUCCCAACAAAUUACCCUGUUUUGCCAGGUAGAAGAAGCAGAGUGGAGAGAGGACAUUCCAAAUAAAAUGAAUGCUGAUCCUGCAUUGAGUGCAAGCAAAAAACUGUCAAGUUUUCCCUGGAUCUUUGGGCUUUCAUUUCUGAAGUCUCCUGUGUCAUGUAAAACUUUGUUAAAUAAAUUUGUUAUGCUUUU
RNAcentral lists this long non-coding RNA (357 nucleotides) under Pongo abelii (Sumatran orangutan). RNAcentral's name for it is "lincRNA". The record is from RNAcentral. Lineage: Eukaryota; Metazoa; Chordata; Mammalia; Primates; Hominidae.